RNAcentral lists this long non-coding RNA (2843 nucleotides) under Sus scrofa (pig). RNAcentral describes it as "lncRNA (ENSSSCG00065027597.1)". Lineage: Eukaryota; Metazoa; Chordata; Mammalia; Artiodactyla; Suidae. The record is from RNAcentral.
GAUCCAUACUCAUGACAUGUGGAGGUUCCCAGACUAGGGGUUGAAUUGGAGCUAUAGCCGCCAGCCUAUACCACAGCAGUGUGAGAUCCCUAUCCCACUGAGUGAGGCUAGGGAUCAAACCUGUAUCUUCAUGGAUACUAGUCAUAUUCAUUUCCACUCGUUCAUGACAGACACUCCCUGGUAUGCUUUUAAAAACCAAGUGUUCAUAAGUUUUCUUGAACCAAUUUUAGUGGUUUUAUACUGGCUCUACAAUAAAACUUCAGGUAUUUCAUGAAUCUGUAAUUCUUUGAAGCCAUCCUUGCCCCCCAAAAAACAGCAAAGAAAAGCCUAGCAUAUACGUGUUCAAUAAGUUUUUAUCCAAUAGGGAAUGUUAUUUAUUGAAUAUUUGAGAUGUGUCAUAUUUCAGAUUUGGUUUAGCAUUUCAAUUAAUCUUUUAAAGGGUAAUUAAAAUAUUAUCAUCAUUACAUAGGAGUUAUUUGAAGUUCAGAGAAUUUAAGUAGCUUAAAGGACAUGCCUUCUAAGUUAUCUCUCUGACUUCUCUGUAUUUUAUUAUGCCUCGUUGCCUCACACUGAUCCCAAAAUUAUUUAUUACAUACACUGUUGAACUAAUCACAUACCCAGUAAUAUCUGAAAAUUUGGUAUCUCAUUCAGAACAGAGAUAUAAUCAUUGGUGAUAAUAAUAUCUAAUUGGUAAACACUACAUUAUUCAUAUAUAUUAUGUAUUUAUCUUAUGUAAAUUAAAUUUACUGACAAUUACAUGUUAUGCUUUCUGUGAGUUCCCAUUGUGGCUCAGCAGAAACAAAUCUAACUAGUAUCCAUGAGGACUCGGGUUCGAUCCCUGGCCAUGGGAUCCAGUGUUUCCAUGAACUGUGGUGGGUUAAGGAUCCAGUGUUGCCAUGAACUGUGGCGGGUUAAGGAUCCAGUGUUGCCAUGAACUGUGGUGUAGGUCGCAGACGCAGCUUGGAUCUGGUGCUGCUGUGGCUGUGGUGUAGGCCGGCAGUUACAGCUCCGAUUGGACCCCUUGCCUGGGAACCUCCAUAUGCCUCAGGCACAGACCUAAAAAGACAAAAUAAAUAAAUAAAUAAAUAAAUCUCUAGGAUAAAACUCUUAUACACACACAAACACAAUAGUUGAACUGCUAAGCAAGCAAUGGAGGAAGGAUCACUAAAAUGUAGUGGCUCCAAAGGUAAAUGCCAGUAUUAGCACUGCAGUGAUCAGGGUUCUAAGCCUUGGAACUUAUGAGAUUGAGAAACUGAUCUGAGAAUCCCACACAUCAAGCCAAGGUCCUUAAGGUGGGAUGAAUGGCUCUUCCACCCUGGCUUCUGAUGGAAUCUUAAAUCCCCUCUUUUAUGUUAAGUAAAACACUGCAGUUUUUCCAGGGAUAGAAUUUCAAAAAAUAUAAGCUUACAAUAAGAAAAUACUAAACAACAAACCAAUUAGUAAAAUCAUGAGUGGCAGUUAACUUUAGAAAGAACAAAUUACAAACAUUCACAUGCACAUAUACACACCCACGUACAUAUGUGUAACAGUAUAAAAUGGUUUUAAAAAGUAAAAAAAAAUUAAUAAACACUGAUUUCAGAUCAAGAGACUGUCAAAAAUGGGUGGCCAGGAAAAUAUGAGAAUGAAGUUUCAGAAAUAAAAUAUAAAAAGGUUGAAAUUAAAAACUGAAUGUUUUAAAGAGCUGAUUAGAGAAAAUGAAUAAAUCUGAAGAUAACUUUAAAGGAUUAUCUAGAAUACAAUAUACUAAACAAAGAAAUGAAAAAUAUGAAUAAAAAGAUUCAAAAAAUAAAAUGAGAAAGUGUAAUAUAUAUCUAAUUGGCAACAAGAAUAGAUGUCAAUUCAGUAUACAGAGUAGGUCAUUAGAAUGAAGAGGCAAGGGCUUGAUAUUGCCCAGAACUAAUGAAAUUGCAAAUUCACAGAUAUAUAAAGUACAAACUGAAUAAUUGAAAAAGAAAUACAUUCUCACAUACUCCACUGAAGCUAAAGAGCACAAAGGAACUAAAAGAUCUUAAAAGUAGCCCCUGAGAAAAGACCUACAAAAGAAUAACAAUUGGACAUCUCAAUGAUGGUAUCAAGUAACACUGAAAAUGCUCUUAGAAAUGCUGAAAUGACAACAUGAAUGGAGAUCCCAGAAAAAUAUUCUCUUUUGAAAAUGGUUGUAUUGACUACAAUAAAUUUUUUUUAAAUUGCUUUUAGCUUUAUACCAAAAAUAAAUAAAUAAUUUAAAAAAUUGGUGAGAAGAUCUAAACAGUUAUUUCUCCAAAGAUGACAGAUAGAUGGCCAAAAAGAACAUGAAAAGAUACUCAGCAUCACUAAGUAUUAGAGAAAUGCUAAUGUCAGAGAAUGUUUUGGCUAUGUUCUCCUCCAGGAGUUUGAUGGUGUUUUGUCUUAUGUUUAAGUCUUUAAGCCAGUUUGAGUUUAUUUUUGGGCAUGGUAUGAGGGUGUGUUGUAGUUUCAUUGAUUUGCCUGCAGCUUUCCAGGUUUCCCAGCAAUACUUGCUGAAAAGACUGUCUUUUUCCCAUUUUAUAUUCUUGCUUCCUUUGUCAAAGAUUAAUUGACCAUAGGUAUCUGGGUUUAUUUCUGCAUUCUCUAUUCUGUUCCAUUGGUCUGUGUGUCUGUUUUGGUACCAGUAACACACUGUCUUUAUGACUGUGGCUUUGUAAUAUUGCCUGAAGUCUGAGAGAGUUAUGGCUUCUGCUUAUUUUUUGUUCCUCAGAAUUGCUCUGGCCAAUCUGGGUCCUUUGUGGUUCCAUAUAAAUUUUUGACUUGUUUGUUCUAGUUCUGUGAAAAAUGUCAUGGUUAAUUUGAUAGGGAUUGCAUUAAAUCUGUAGAUUGUUUUGGGU